RNAcentral lists this long non-coding RNA (13741 nucleotides) under Lotus japonicus. RNAcentral's name for it is "long non-coding RNA (LJAP_LNC001353)". The record is from RNAcentral. Lineage: Eukaryota; Viridiplantae; Streptophyta; Magnoliopsida; Fabales; Fabaceae.
AAAAUCGUGUUUGAACAAGAACGAUUUUCCAUCUAUUUAUAUCUCAUCCUUUGUCUCUUCCGGUGCUUAACAUGUUCCAUAUCAAAUACAGUGUAACACCCUCUAUCUUUGUCAAAAUCACAAGAACAUAGCAGGCUAGUAGUUGCAAUGAUCAUGAAACCAUGCACUUUCUUACUAGCCAUAGCCACCUCUUACUUGUUACUUCUCGUUAAUGCAACCCCAAAAUCAACCUACCAUUCUCUCUUCAUCUCCAAUUCCCUAUCAGACAAUGCCUCCAUAGCCAACCACCUUCAAAUUCUCACCCGCAGACCUCACAUAGCAGGUUCUGAAGCAAACGCUGAGGCUGCAGUUUAUGUACGCUCAGUCCUCACCUCCUUCAACAUACCAACUCACUUUGCUUCCUACCAAGUUUCCCUCACACUCCCUCUUUCUCGCUCCUUGGUGCUCACAAACUCGCCAGCACCAGAAACAGCCACCAACUUUACUCUCCGUCAAGAAAUCUACAAGGGUGAUCCUUAUGCUGAUGUUGCAGACCAGGCUGUUCCAACAUUCCACGCCUAUGCCAAGUCAGGCGCCGCCACCGGACCAGUCGUGUACGCGAACUACGGAAGGGAGGAGGACUAUUUGACACUCACACAGAUUGGGAUCAACGUUUCAGGUAGAGUCUUGAUUCAUAGACCACUUAAUAGUAUAGCUAGACGCUCACAAACACCUCAUUUUUCUCUAUAUCCCGCACUAUUUAUCACAUUAUAUCAUAUAUCACAUUUAUUAUUUCUCUCUGUUGUCUACACCUAAGAGUGUUCUAUAAAUCAUUUUUGCAGGCACUGUUGUAUUGGCGAAGUAUGGGAAAAUCUUUAGAGGCGACAUUGUGCAGAAUGCUUAUGAUGCCGGAGCUGCAGGGGUGGUGAUAUAUUCAGAUAGGAAGGACUGCGGUGGCGCUGGCAAGGCGCGGUGGUUCCCUGAUGACAAGUGGUUGCCGCCGAGCGGGGUUCAGGUGGGGUCGGUGUUUUUGGGGAAAGGAGACCCUACAACGCCUGGUUGGCCCAGUUGUGGUGAGUGUGAGAGGCUGACUCACGAUGAGGUUGAGAAGAGAGGUGAUGUUCCUCUAAUACCUUCAUUGCCGGUGUCUGGUGAAGAUGGUGACAAGAUAUUGAAGUCAAUUGGUGGCCCUGUUGCUAAGGAUGACUGGCAGGGAAGCCAAGAUGCACCUACUUACCGGGUUGGACCAGGACCAGGAAUUUUACACCUCAAUUAUACGGUAUGUUUUCUAUCUAGCGGUAACUACUAGUCUACUAUCAUGAACCAAAUUGGUUCAACAUGGUAUAUUAGAGACUCUAUGACUAAAUUGUUUAGAAUUCGAUUCCUGUCGCUCUCAAUUUUUCAAAUAACAAGUUGAAUUUCAGCAUAUAGUAGGUGAACAAGUGCAUUAUUCACGUUUCAAGUCCAAGUGAAUCUUGCUUGAGGAGAUGCAUUAGAAAUAUAAUCAUUGAGUACUUUAUCAAACACCUUAAGCUUUAGCCUUUAGGGAUAAUUGGUUCUUGACAAUUACAUUAUAUUAUGUUCUAGUGAACUUGUUAUUUGUAAAAUCUGUUAUGGCCUGGUGCAAACAUCACUUGCAAAAGUAUCCGAUAGGUUAAACAAGAACUGAAUUGGUUAGUGGAUUUUUGGGAUUUGCUCUUGCAGGGACAGGAUAUUAUAGCCACAAUUCAAAAUGUUAUUGGUGUGAUUGAAGGAGAAGAAGAGCCUGAUAGGUAUGCAAGAAUUGAGAGCUUAGAAAAUUCACAAUCUUGUUUUAUUGAAUUUUUUAUUUAAUUACUUUUGCAACUGCUUGUAGAUUUGUGAUUCUAGGCAAUCAUAGGGAUGCAUGGAGUUAUGGUGCAGUUGAUCCCAAUAGUGGAACUGCAGCACUACUUGAGGUAACUUUGUUACAGCUCUGAUUCGUGUAGUGUAGGACGGAAUAGUGGUAAACACCUGAUCCCAGCAAUUUGUGGUGGUGUCACUAUUCUGUAGUACACAAAUUAUUUUGACUUUGUAAACAUGGUUUUGUUAAUUCAGGCAAUACCAUUAAAAUAUACAUACUACUGAAAUUCAGGUAGCGGAAAGAUUGAGGAAGCUUCAGAAAAGAGGAUGGAAACCUAGAAGAACAAUUAUCUUAUGCAAUUGGGAUGCUGAGGAAUACGGUCUUGUAAUUUUCUUUCUCUCUUUCUUGUCUCUCUUUUGUUAUGCACAAUUGGCGCAUGCCUCCAUGAAAGUCUAAUGCGAUCGUUCUUCCCUCCAGAUAGGAUCAACGGAAUGGGUAGAAGAGAACAGAGAAAUCCUUGCUUCAAGGGCGGUUGCUUACUUGAAUGUUGACGCGGCAGUUGGUGGACCGGAGGGGUUUCAGACCAGUGCCACUCCACAGCUUGAUGAAUUGAUCAAAAGAGCAACUCAGCAGGUAUCAUUGGAAUAUAAAUAACUAGAAUAAGCUUUUUUGUACAUGAUCAGUAAAAGAAGAUGAGCACCACUGUUUGAAUUAGUGAUGAAUGGAUUUGAAUCAGUUAGGUAGAGGAACAAUAUAUAGGGUGGAUAAAAAGAAAAGUACCAUUCAACAUUUCUCAAAAGUAGAUACAUUAACUUAAACAUGAUGGUGGCACCAACCACAUUUCUAUUUUGGUAUUUUUGCAGAUUAAAGACCCAGAUAACUCAUCUCAGACCAUUUAUGAUUCUUGGACUGGUUCAAGUAGUUCCCCUGUGGUAAGCAUAUUGCAGUUGUUUACAUGUUUAUGUUACAAAAGGGCAGACAUCUUGCUAUAAAACAUUCAAAGUUCUACUCUUUUAAUUUUAACAGUAGUAUCAGUGGUUAAUGGGGAUUAAACUUUAGAUUAGCUAUAUAACUGAAUAUCUAUCUAUGCUCAAACAAUUUCUCUACUUUGAAAGAUUGGAAGGUUAGGAGGUGGAGGAUCAGAUUAUGCAGCUUUUUUGCAGCAUGUUGGAAUUCCAGCAGCUGGCAUAUUUUUUGGUAAAACACAAAACUCAUUCUUUUAAUCAACAGUAUGCAGAUAUAUCAACAAUCUCAUUUCUGUUAUUCAUGUCCUUGUUUAAUAAAUGGUUUCUCUUGAACAAAAUGUCUGGAAAAAAAAGUCUUAUUAUUCAUAGCACAAUUCAAAUUCCACAUGACAAGGGGUUUAAAUCAUUUUUUUUUUCUCACAGGUAGUACAGGUUACCCAGUAUACCACUCACUAUAUGAUGAUUUCACCUGGAUGCAAAACUUUGGUGAUCCUAUGUUUCAAAGGCAUGUUGCAGGUUGGUCUCAUAAAUUUCUUCUACAACUUCUAUCGCAGUAAACGCUAUCUCAAUUGACUCUAGUGACAUACUGACAGCUAUUUGAAAAUUACCAAUAGUUCAAUGCAUAUGAAUUUCUUUUCUCACCAUAGAUUUAAGAAAACUUAAACAUGUUACAUUUUCCAUCAUAAGCAAACACACUUUCUGCUUGCUUAUUACUAAAUGAUUAUGUUCUGUAAAACAGCUGCAAGUGUUUGGGGUCUAGUAGCGCUUUGGCUAGCAGAUGAGGAAUUCAUACCUUUUGAUCAUGUUUCCUAUGUUAAGGAGCUCCAGGUGCGCCCACUUUAGAUGCUUAUUUAAUCAAACAUUGCAGUGGUAUACAAAAUCUAUUAAUUCUCACUGAGACCAUGAAGAUCAAUUCUUACAAUGCAAAAUAUCUUAAUCACAGCUUAGCUUUAAGGUACUGGAAAAUGAGAUUUCAAACAAAGAUAUAAAUUUGACUCCCAUACUGACCUCCAUCAAGGAGUUUGAGAAAGCAGCAAUUAUGAUAAAGAACCAGAGAAAGGUACGUCAUAAUUCUUAAAUACCUUUUUUGGGAGGGAUGAGAAGUGCAAAACAUUGAAAUGCAUGUGGUUCUUCAGAAAUUAGAAGCAAGUAAAGGAUGGACAACAAAGAAGGAGGACCAUUAUUUUAAAGUGAGAGAGCUGAAUGAUAGACUGAUGAUGGCUGAGCGUGCAUUCACUGACAGAGAUGGUCUCUUUGGAAUGUCAUGGUAUAAGCAUUUGGUAAGUUAUGAAACUAACGGAUUUUCUUAAAAGGAAGGAUGAUAUGAAAUAAAUGCAUAAAACUGGAUCAAAUUGGCAAUGGCUUCUCUUUUAGCAUCUCUCAUUUCCAGUCUUAGUCUAAUUUUCUAGCAUAAAUUCUCGUUUAAGUAGCUGAAACAUUCAAUUGUCUUCUAGUCUUCCUUUUUAAUUUUAUUCUGGUCAUUUUUCAGAUAUAUGGACGAUCGAAACACAAUGGUUAUGGCUCCCAAUCUUUCCCUGGAAUUGAUGAUGCUGUAAUAAUAGCAAAAGAUACAAAGACUGUAGAAUCGUGGCUUCGAGUACAACACGAAGUAUGGAGAGUCUCAAGAGUUAUCAAACAGGUCUCGUUAGUUCUCUCGGGUCAACUCACAUGAAUGAAGAUUUACAUUUUCUGGCUCGCUAUGGCCAUGAGUUUUGUGAGCUGAACUUUGAUGCAGAGCAUGUUCCCCACCCUCUUCUGUCUUAUUUACUAAAGGAUGUAAUAGGGGUUUCUUCCCCCAGAUUGGUAUAGUUUUGUAUCUCUGGGCUUUAGCCCUCUUUGUAAUAAAAAAAACGUUAGUGAAAACAUACGAUUAUAUAUAUGCAGUCUAAUAGAAAUGCGUCAUAACCCCUUUCAUCCUUGUUUGUGCCUAUGCAAACCAGAAAACAGAAUAGUUUUCACUCCAUGCCCCUUUGUACCCUCUCAUUUCCCUUUUUUUCCUAAUGUUAGUCUUUCAUUUCCCCUCGUUAUCAAACACAUGCAAAUUUAGGCACUUAUUCUUAUUGUUUCAUUGCUCUGAUAUGGAUACUACAGGUAACAAGAGGUCGUCUCCCAUUAUGAUGAUGAAGACUACGAUAAUGAUUCUUUAGGAUAGAAGAAGGUAAAAUCGUUAGCUACUUAGUUAAUACUUUGAUGAGCACCGUCCUCUAAUAAAGAAGGUCUAUGAAAGAAGGAAUAAGAGGAAGGCAGCUGUUUAGCCUAAUUCUGUUAUAUUCUGUUAUCAAUGUAAUAAGGACUAGCCUAGUAUCUAGUCUGUUAAAGUUAGCAGUUAGGAUCUUGUCCUAUAAAUAGAAGGACAGGUCAGUUUGUUAGGCAGCUAGAGAAUAAGUUAGUUUGUUGGAGAUUCUGGACUCUCGAAGUUCCAGUGGGAUUGGGGUUCAUAGUUUCCCUGUUGUAGUUCCCAAUUCUUGUAUCCUAGAGCCAUUGAUUCUCACUAUGAGGAUCUUGGUUCUGUUUCAGUUCAAUUGAAUAAACCAAUUCACCUUCUCUGUUCUUGAUUCCAUCAUACUUCGAGUCGUUGAUUACCUCAUUUAGCCCAAAUAGAAAGCUGAAGAAUUAUGAUUUCUGGAUUUUUCUGUUGGCUCCCUCACAUAUGUACAUUUUGUUUCUUUCUUUAUAGCGAGGGGGUUAUUUGUCUAAUUUGUGUUUUUUCAUUCUAAUAAUUUGGUUCUCAUUGAUUUUUUAUUUUUUCAAUUCUGCUGACUGUUUCUGCUUGUAGGCAUUACUUUACUUGAUUGUUUCUGCAGUGACCAAUUUAUUUGAGAAAUUCUUUAGGAACUAUGCUCAGAUGAUCUUGGUUAGUAAGUUUGGGAUGUUUAAGAUUCAAUUGGUUUAACCUCUUUCCCCAUUUUGAAUUGGAUGCUCAAGUAUCAAUGAUUACUCUUGAUUCUUUACUUGUGAUAUAUUAUCUGUUACUUCUUAAACUUAUCUUGUCAAAAAAUGUGGGAGACAUGAAUUAUCACUAUGUUUUCUUCCAUGUUCUUGCAAAUUCCACUUGCAGAUAGAUAUGAUUGGAUUAAUGUGUAUUAAUGUGCACUGAGUAUGAAUUUGUAGAUGUACAAACUUUGCUGUUUUUGUUCACUUAGUCAUGGAUCUAACUAUCUAAGGCUAAUGGAUUCCCUAGGUUAAGGGAUUCUCGUUCUAUUAAAUGAAUGUGAUAAAAGUAUUUGAAGCAGUAUCAGUGGAGUUUGGGCAAGGUAUUCUCUUGAUCUGUUUAAUGAAUGUGAUUCAAGUAUUGAGAGCAGUGUAAAUGGAGUUUGGUUGGUAAGUUCAUUUAUCCUUUUGGAAUUCGUUCAUAACUUCACUCUGAUUUGAAAUAGUUCUAUUUCUGUUGGGACCAUAAUGAGACGUGGAACAACAUAGAGACCAAGACGUUAGAUUAUGAAAAAGAUAUCGUCAUUAUCUAACAAAAGACAAACUUAAAAUUGAUUAUUAAAGCACUGCACUUUGAAAUCUUGUUGAACUAUUUAUGCAGCACAUAUAUUUGAAAUGAAUAACUUGUAUGGGUUUGAAGAUGUUUUGUAUGAUGGGCUGUCAUAUAGGUAACAUCAACGAGUCACAAUAUUUAAAUUCAGAUAUUGAAAAGCAAAAUAACUUUGAAGAGUUGGAUGCAAGUUUAAAUAUUCAAAAUUGCAAAGUGAUGACUAAUAAAGCAUGUAAUGAGACAAAAUGAAUAUGUAGGGACAGAGACAUCCUACCUAAUUAGGUUCACAGAACAUGAAGUAGGCAGAAAAAAGAUAGACUUCUUCCUUUCUCAAUCAGAGCUAACUAGUCCUAGUAAAUGCGAAAUGCAGUAUAGUUAACAAUAUGUCUCUCUCACACACACACACAUACACUCACACACAAACAAAGUAGACCAGAGACCCCAGGGAAGCCAAGAAACCUGCUCUAAGGUGCCAACAAUAUCAAACAAGCAAAAUAAUACUAUCCACCACAUAAGUAAGUAGUAAUAGAAGUGUUGAACCUGUUUCUUUCCUCUUAAACUGAUAUACCAUGAUCAAAACAGGCACUUCCUUAUUAGCCAUAGCUACCUCUUACUUGUUACUUCUCAUUAAUCCAACCCCAAAAUCAACAUAUCAUUCUCUCUUCAUCUCCAAUUCCCUAUCAGACAAUGCCUCCAUAGCCCACCAUCUUCAAACUCUCACCCGCAGACCCCACAUAGCUGGUUCUGAAGCCAACACUGAGGCUGCAGCUUAUGUUCUGUCGGUCUUCGCCUCCUGCAACAUACCAUCUCACUUUACUUCCUAUGAAGUUGGCCUCACAUACCCAAUUUCACGCUCCUUGGUGCUCAAAAACCUGCCACCUGAACCUCCCACUAACUUCACUCUACGCCAAGAAAUCUACAAGGGUGAUCCUUAUGCUGAUGUUACAGACCAGGUUGUUCCGACAUUCCACGCGUAUGCCAAGUCAGGCACCGCAAUUGGCCCUGUCGUGUACGUGAACUAUGGAAGGGAGGAGGACUAUUUGACACUGGGACAGAUAGGGAUCAACGUUUCAGGCACUGUUGUAUUGGCAAAGUAUGGGAAAAUCUUCAGAGGGGACAUUGUGAAGAAUGCAUAUGAUGCAGGUGCUGCAGGGGUGGUGAUAUAUUCAGAUAGGAAAGACUAUGGUGGUGCUGGGGUGGCGCGGUGGUUCCCUGAUGACAAGUGGAUGCCGCCGAGCGGGGUUCAGGUGGGGUCAGUGCUUAUGGGGAAAGGGGACCCCACAACACCUGGUUGGGCGAGUAGUGGUGAAUGUGAGAGGCUGUCCAAUGAGGAGGUGGAGAAGGGAGGUGAUGUUCCUCUGAUACCUUCAUUGCCAGUGUCAGCUGCAGAUGGUGAAAAGAUAUUGAGGUCAAUUGGUGGCCCUGUUGCUCAGGAUGAUUGGCAGGGAAGCAUAGAUGCACCUACUUACAGGGUUGGACCAGGACCAGGGAUUCUCAACCUCAGUUACAUGGUACCUUAUCGAGUGGUAGUUUCAGUGCAAACAUCAUAUGCAAAAGCCCCUCCAGUCAAACAAGAACUAGAUUGAUUAGUAGAUUUUUGGAUAUUGCUUUUGCAGGGACAGGAUAUUAUAGCCACAAUUCAAAAUGUUAUUGGUGUGAUUGAAGGAGAAGAAGAGCCUGAUCGGUAUGUAUGCAAGAAUUCCACCCUUACCAUUUGCAUUCAAUGGCAAUGAAGGUUGUGAACUUAGAAAAUUCAUAUUCUUGUUUUAUUGAGCUUUUCAUUUAAUCACUUAUGCAACUGCUUGUAGAUAUGUCAUUCUAGGAAAUCAUAGGGAUGCAUGGACAUUUGGAGCAGUUGAUCCCAAUAGUGGAACUGCAGCACUACUUGAGGUAAGAUUUGUGUAACACGGAACAAUGGCUGACAACUGACACCUGCAAUUUGUGGCGGGGCUGCCACUAUUCUGUGGUACACAAAUCAUGUUUGACUUUGUAGACAUAGUGUUGUUGUUUCAAGCCAUACCAUUAAAAUGGACACACUCCUGAAAUUCAGGUUGCCGAAAGAUUGGGGAAGCUUCAAAAGAAAGGGUGGAAACCUAGAAGAACCAUUAUCUUAUGCAAUUGGGAUGCUGAGGAAUACGGUCUUGUAAUUUUCUUUCCCUCUCUCUUUUCUCUAUUUUGUUAGGCACAAUGGUUCUCUUACGCCCGGUGAAUGUUUGUUACGAUCGUCCCCUCCAGAUAGGAUCAACGGAAUGGGUAGAAGAGAACAGAGAAAUUCUUGCUUCAAGGGCGGUUGCUUACUUAAACGUUGACUGUGGAGUAGCUGGACCUUGGUUUCAGGCCAGUGCCACACCACAGCUUGAUGAAUUGAUCAAAAGAGCAACUCAGCAGGUAUCACAACAAAGUUGGAAUAAAAGACAACUAGAAUAAGUUCUUUGAUGAGCACCCGUUUAAUAUGAAUUUUUUCUUACAUGGCUUUGAAUCAAUCACGUAGUGGGUAACAAUAUAUGGAGUGGAUAAAAUGAACGGGGAGUGGAUAUAACAAAACGUACUAUUCAGCAUUUCUCUAAAGAAGAUACAUGAAAAUAAAGCAUGAUGGUGGCACCAACCACUUUUGCAUUUUCUUUUUCUGUAGGUUAAAGACCCAGAUAACUCAUCUCAGAGCAUGUAUGAAUCUUGGAGUGGUUCAAGUAGUUCCCCUCUGGUAAGCAUAUUGCAGUUGUUUACAUGUUUACAUUAUAAACCCAACUAAAUGUUUUGGGGUAGCACUGAGGAGAAACAUUCAGUGCUCUACUUUUAGUAUCAACAAUAAUGCCAGUGGUUAGUGGGGAGUAAACUUUAGAUUAGCUGUAUAACUGAACAUCUAUCUAUGCUAAAUCAAUUUCUCUACUUUAAAAGAUUGGAAGGUUAGGAGGUGCAGGAUCAGAUUACGCAGCAUUUUUGCAGCAUGUGGGAAUUCCAGCAGCUGACAUAGCCUUUGGAGGGGGUAAAUACAAAACUCAUUCUUUUAAUCAUCAAUAUACAGAUAUAUAAUAAUCUCAUUUCUGUUAUUCUUGUCCUUGUUUAAUAAAUGGUUUCUCAUGAACAAAAUGAAAAAAAAAAAUUAUUAGUUAUAUAGCACAAGCACAAUUCAAAUUCCACAUGCUAAGGGGAAAUCAUUUUUUUCACACAGAUUCUGCAACUUACCCAGUAUACCACUCAUUAUAUGAUGAUUUCAUCUGGAUGCAAAAAUUCGGUGAUCCUAUGUUUCAACGGCAUGUUGCAGGUUGGUCUCGUAAAUUUCUUUUACAAUUUCUAUCACAGUAAACCCUAUCUCAAUAGACUCUAGUGACAUCUAUAUGAAUGGAAGCUCCAAUUCAGUUACAUAUCCUCAGUGUAUUUGAAAAUUAUCAACAGUUUGAUACAUAUGAUAUGAAUUUCUUUUCUAAUUAUACAAUUAAAGAUGGGAAGUUUUUUGCACCAUUUUUCAAUAAACAAAAGUAUGCCUUAUUACCUAAUUAUGACCACUAUUUACUGCAUGCUUAUUACUUAGUGUUUAUGUUCUGUAAAACAGCUGCAAGUGUUUGGGGUCUAGUAGCACUUUGGUUAGCAGAUGAGGAAUUCAUACCUUUUGAUUAUGUUUCCUAUGCUAAGGAGCUCCAGGUGUGCACACCUUAGAUUCUAAUAUAAUCAAACAUUAUACAAAAUAUAUUCUCACCAAGAGUAUGAAGAUUCUUACAACACAAAACAUCUUAAUCACAGCUUAGCGUUAAGGUACUGGAAAAUGAGAUUUCAAGCAAAGACAUAAAUUUGACUCCUAUGUUCACCUCCAUCAAGGAACUUGAGAAAGCAGCAACCAUGAUAAAGAACCAAAGAAAGGUAUGUCAUAAUUCUUCAAUACCUCUUUUAGGAGGGAUAAGAAGUACAAAGAUUGAAAUUUUGAUCUUUUAGGAAUUAGCAGCAAGUAAAGGAUGGACAACAAGGAAGGAGAACCAUUUGAAAGUGAGAGAGUUGAAUGAUAGACUGAUGAUGGCUGAGCGUGCAUUCACUGACAGAGAUGGUCUGUUUGGAAUGUCCUGGUACAAGCAUUUGGUAAGUGUUUUUAGAGUGAAUUUGAAAGUGUAAGCGUCAAGCAGAUUAGUCCCUAUAAGAAUGAAGUAAACACUCCAUGUGGUCCCUAAUUGUGUCAAAUGUCGGUCAAAUUUGUUUGACGUUUUAUCUAACCAUAGGGACUGACUAUUCCGACAUUUGACAUAAUCAGGGACUGUAGGGUAUUCCCUUCUUCUAGGUACUAACUUGUUUGACGCUUAUCCUUUCAGGGACGAAAUUGGGCAUUCACUGUGUGUUUUUUUACAAAGCAUUUGGUGAUGAAACUAAUGGAUCAAAUUGGCAAUGACUUCUCUUUUAGCAUCUCUAAUUUCCAGUCUUAAUCUAAUUAUCUAGCAGAAACUUUUUGUCUAAGUAGCUGAAACAUUCAAUUGUCUUCUAGUAUUCCUUUUUAAUUUUAUUUCCGGACAUUUUUCAGAUAUAUGGACGAUCGAAACACAAUGGUUACGGCUCCCAAUCUUUCCCUGGAAUUGAUGAUGCAGUAAUAAUAGCAAAAGAUACACAGACUGUAGAGUCAUGGCAUCGAGUACAACACGAAGUAUGGAGAGUCUCAAGAGUUAUCAGACAGGCCUCGUUAGUUCUCUCAGGUCAACUGACAUGAAAGUCAACUGCACUUUGCAAUUUGAAUCAUUAGUUGAAACUUGAAAGUUAAUUUCCUAUUCAUGGUACAAGGUGUCACUCUUUCUAUGAUGAGAAGCUAUGUGCUUCCCUGUUCUGAAUUUGUAAUAUUACUUCUGUAAUGUUUGCUUGCUUUAUCUAUUAUUUACUAGUUACUACCUAUUAUAAUACAUAAUUCCUACCAUGCAUGUGUUUCCUGUACAUUUCAGCAAUGAUCUUUGAUAUUCUUUUUGUCACUCCAGCAUUUUCUCUUUAUUCUUUAGUGUUAGCUUUUUAAUCCAGUUCUCAGUUUCUACACUCCUACAGACCAUGACAUUUUCUUCCUUCGACAUUAACUUGCUUUAUUUUUCUCAAACUAAUAACAGUUGCCAAUUACACCUUUUAAAACAUUACUAGUCAUACAAAUUCUUAAAAUAAUCACCCAUUAACUCAUUAUCCAAUCAACAAUUUCAAAAAUACCCCAUCCAAACACUCUCUUAAAAAAGAUGAGUACACAAAAAGAGGAGAGAUGAGUAGAGAGUAAAAAAAAGGUGAGAAAUAUAGUAGAGAGAUAGAAAAGAGAGAAAUAUAUUUUUUGGGUGCAAAAAAAAAAUUUUAACAAUUAAAAGCUCUUGUGAGGUUAAAUGACAUUUCUGGUAUUGCGGAACGCCACUAAUAUGCGUUCAGAGUAAAAAAUAAAAAACAACCAUCAACUCAUUUUUCUCCAAUUUGGAGAGACUAUGAAAAGUUGUGGGUCUCACCCGCUCUCUUUCUUGGCCCUCUCUUAGAGCAUCUCCAACCAUGGGUUGCUUCAACAUUAUUUUGGUGGGUCCAAACUGUCACAUAGGAUUUAAGCAACUAAUGCAGAUUUCGCUCCAACCAAGGUUUCUUAUUUUACUUUUGGUUGGGUCUCACUAUAUCUGAUAUAUUUAUACUAUUUUAAAAUCAUGACACUAUUCAAGUUUAUGAAUGAAAGAGAAAAAAAAUAUAUUUUUAGUCCAAAAGUAAUUAGAAAGAGAAUAAGCAAAAUGUUACUAAAAUUUAAGCAACCAGAAUUGUCAUGUCAUGGUGCUCCGAAAUAAGCAACGUUGCUUAAGUGCUCCAACUAGAUUAAGCAACCUUCAUUGAAGAUAUUCUUAAAGAAACAAAACAUUGAAGAGGAAUAUGAAGAAGAAGAAAAAAAUUGGGAGAUAUAAGUGAUGUGAUGAGAAAAUGAAAAGACGUGUGAAGAAAAAGUCAGGGAAAAUUGAUAGAAAGAGAAAGAAAUGUGUGAAACCAUAUAUUAAACAUAAUAAUAUGUGUACAAUCAAACGGUGCAUAAUUAGGGACACCACCUAAUUAUAUCUAUUUAUCUCUUUUUUCCGGUCAUAUUGAAUCAUAUAUCACAUAUAUAUUGUUUUUCUCUCUUCUCAUCCUAUCUAUUGCUAUUGGUGUACAUCAUAAUUGUUCCUUUACUAACCAUAGCUAAGUGAUUGACUUGCUUUCCUUAUCAGUUAGAGCUGUAAUGUAGUAAAUGCCAAAUACUCUACAAUAUAACAAUCCCUCUCUCUCUCUCUCUCACACACACAAACACCAACAGAACAGACCAGAGAAGCCAAGAUACCAGCUCAAGAUUAGGUCUCAAACAUCAAACAAGCAAAUUAACACAAUCCAGUGAAUCCACCAAAUAAGUAAGUAGUACUAGUAGAAACCUGAACCUAUUUCUUUCCUCUUAAACUGAUGCAAUGAUCAAAACAGGAACUACCUUAUUAGCCAUAGCCACCUCUUACUUGUUGCUUCUCUUUACACAAACCCCAAAAUCUACCUAUCAUUCUCUCUUCAUCUCCAACUCCCUAUCAGACAAUGCCUCCAUAGCUCACCACCUUCAAACUCUCACCCGCAGACCUCACAUAGCAGGCUCUGAAGCCAACGCAGAAGCUGCAGCUUAUGUUCACUCAGUCCUCACCUCCUGCAACAUACCAACCCACUUUGCUUCCUAUCAAGUUUCCCUCUCAUACCCUCUUUCUCGCUCCUUGGUGCUCACAAACCCGCCACCAGAACCCACCACAAACUUCCUUCUCCACCAAGAAAUCUACAAGGGUGAUCCUUAUGCUGAUGUUGCAGAUGAAGUUGUUCCUACAUUCCACGCAUAUGCCAAGUCAGGCACUGCAACUGGCCCUGUGGUUUAUGUGAACUAUGGAAGAGUGGAGGACUAUUUGACACUGGGAAAGAUGGGGGUCAACGUUUCAGGAACUGUGGUAUUGGCAAAGUAUGGGAAAAUCUACAGAGGGGACAUUGUGAGGAAUGCAUAUGAUGCAGGUGCUGCAGGGGUGGUGAUAUAUUCAGAUAGGAAGGACUACGGUGGUGCUGGCAAGGCGCGGUGUUUCCCGGAUGAGAAGUGGUUGCCGCCGAGCGGGGUUCAGACGGGGUCGGUGUAUUUGGGGGCAGGGGACCCUACAACACCUGGUUGGGCGAGUAGUGGUGAAUGUGAGAGGCUGUCCAAGGAUGAGGUGGAGAAGGAAGGUGAUGUUCCUUUGAUACCUUCAUUGCCAGUGUCAGCUGCAGAUGGUGAAAAGAUAUUGAAGUCAAUUGGUGGCCCUGUUGCUCAGGAUGAUUGGCAAGGAAGCAAAGAUGCACCAAUUUACAGGGUUGGACCAGGACCUGGAAUUCUCAACCUCAGUUACGCGGUAUGUUAUCAAUCUAGUAGUUUCAGUGAAUUUGUUACACUUAUUGGUUAGCCAUUCUUUUUUGUUGCAUUUCAUAAACUGUUAUGGCCUGGUGAAAACUUCACAUGAAUGCAAAAGAGCCUUCUAGUGUUAUCUGAAUGUUCAAUCA